GUGGGGAAUAUUGGACAAUGGGCGAAAGCCUGAUCCAGCCAUGCCGCGUGUGUGAAGAAGGUCUUCGGAUUGUAAAGCACUUUAAGUUGGGAGGAAGGGCAGUAAGUUAAUACCUUGCUGUUUUGACGUUACCAACAGAAUAAGCACCGGCUAACUUCGUGCCAGCAGCCGCGGUAAUACGAAGGGUGCAAGCGUUAAUCGGAAUUACUGGUCGUAAAGCGCGCGUAGGUGGUUCAGCAAGUUGGAGGUGAAAUCCCCGGGCUCAACCUGGGAACUGCCUCCAAAACUGCAUGACUAGAGUACGGUAGAGGGUAGUGGAAUUUCCUGUGUAGCGGUGAAAUGCGUAGAUAUAGGAAGGAACACCAGUGGCGAAGGCGACUACCUGGACUGAUACUGACACUGAGGUGCGAAAGCGUGGGGAGCAAACAGGAUUAGAAACCCUUGUAGUCC
Molecule: ribosomal RNA, 450 nt
Filed under: uncultured bacterium
Lineage: Bacteria
Description: partial 16S ribosomal RNA
Rfam family: Bacterial small subunit ribosomal RNA
Source: RNAcentral